CGUAACGCGUAUGCAAUCUACCUUUAACUGGUGAAUAGCCCGAAGAAAUUCGGAUUAAUACACCAUAGUAUAUUUGAGUGGCAUCACUUAAAUAUUAAAACUACGGUGGUUAAAGAUGAGCAUGCGUGACAUUAGCUAGUUGGUGAGGUAACGGCUCACCAAGGCUACGAUGUCUAGGGGAUCUGAGAGGAUUAACCCCCACACUGGUACUGAGACACGGACCAG
This 225-nucleotide ribosomal RNA is filed under the name uncultured bacterium. Its description in RNAcentral is "partial 16S ribosomal RNA". It matches the Rfam family "Bacterial small subunit ribosomal RNA", at positions 109 to 334 of the family's 1533-position model. The record is from RNAcentral.